This 623-nucleotide ribosomal RNA is filed under the name uncultured fungus. Its description in RNAcentral is "eukaryotic LSU rRNA". The stretch from base 260 to 414 matches the Rfam family "5.8S ribosomal RNA". Lineage: Eukaryota; Fungi. The record is from RNAcentral.
AAGUCGUAACAAGGUUUCCGUAGGUGAACCUGCGGAAGGAUCAUUACCGAGUAAGGGCGUGCCCCCUCCAAGGGGUGCCCCGACCUCCCAACCCUGUGUCUAUGUUACCUCAGUUGCUUCGGUGGGCCGGACGUCGACCAACUGGUCGUGCGACCGCCGGCCUUGACGGGCUGGAGAGCUUGCCCACCGAUGGCCUCACAACCUUCUUUGUACCGAAACCUGUCGUCUGAAGAAACGUGAUUGUAUAAUCAAAAAACAAAACUUUCAACAACGGAUCUCUUGGUUCUGGCAUCGAUGAAGAACGCAGCGAAAUGCGAUAAGUAAUGCGAAUUGCAGAAUUUCCGUGAGUCAUCGAAUCUUUGAACGCACAUUGCGCCCACUGGUAUUCCGGUGGGCAUGCCUGUUCGAGCGUCAUUAUCCUCCCUCAAACCUCGGGUUUGGUGUUGGGCCGACGUCGGUCCCCGCGACCGACUGGCCCCAAAGACAAUGACGGCGUCCGGGGGACCCUCUUCGCAACGAGCUUCUCGGAGCACGCGUCGAGUUUCAAGGACCCCACGGGCCGGUCUACCUCCAUAUUUUUCUAGGUUGACCUCGGAUCAGGUAGGAAUACCCGCUGAACUUAA